UACAGAGGGGGCAAGCGUUGUUCGGAAUUACUGGGCGUAAAGGGCUCGUAGGCGGCCAACUAAGUCAUACGUGAAAUCCCUCAGCUUAACUGGGGAACUGCGUGUGAUACUGGAUGGCUUGGAUUCGGGAGAGGGAUGCGGAAUUCCAGGUGUAGCGGUGAAAUGCGUAGAUAUCUGGAGGAACACCGGUGGCGAAGGCGGCAUCCUGGACCGAUAUUGACGCUGAGGAGCGAAAGCCAGGGGAGCAAACGGG
RNAcentral lists this ribosomal RNA (253 nucleotides) under uncultured bacterium. RNAcentral's name for it is "partial 16S ribosomal RNA". It matches the Rfam family "Bacterial small subunit ribosomal RNA", at positions 524 to 776 of the family's 1533-position model. The record is from RNAcentral.